UCAAGUGAAUAAGAGCACGUGGUGGAUGCCUUGGCGAUGAUAGGCGACGAAGGACGUGAUAGCCUGCGAUAAGCUUCGGGGAGCUGGCAAAUUAGCUUUGAUCCGGAGAUUUCCGAAUGGGGAAACCCACCGAAAGGUAUCGCAUGAUGAAUACAUAGUCAUGCGAGGCGAACCGGGUGAACUGAAACAUCUCAGUAGCUCGAGGAAAAGACAUCAACCGAGAUUCCGAAAGUAGUGGCGAGCGAAAUCGGAGAAGCCUGUUAGUGAUAGCACAAGACAUAACGGAACAGCUUGGAAAGGCUGGCCAUAGCGGGUGAUAGCCCCGUACGUGAAAUGACCUGUGUGGUACUGAGCUAACGACAAGUAGGGCGGGACACGAGAAAUCCUGUCUGAAUAUGGGGGGACCAUCCUCCAAGGCUAAAUACUCAUCAUCGACCGAUAGUGAACUAGUACCGUGAGGGAAAGGCGAAAAGAACCCCGGGAGGGGAGUGAAAUAGAUCCUGAAACCGCGUGCUUACAAAAAGUAGGAGCCUCGUAAGGGGUGACUGCGUACCUUUUGUAUAAUGGGUCAGCGACUUACAUUCAGUGGCAAGGUUAACCGAAUAGGGAAGCCGUAGAGAAAUCGAGUCCGAAUAGGGCGAUCAGUCGCUGGGUGUAGACCCGAAACCAAGUGAUCUAUCCAUGGCCAGGAUGAAGGUGCCGUAACAGGUACUGGAGGUCCGAACCGACUAGUGUUGCAAAACUAGCGGAUGAGCUGUGGAUAGGGGUGAAAGGCUAAACAAACUUGGAAAUAGCUGGUUCUCUCCGAAAACUAUUUAGGUAGUGCCUCAAGUAUUACCUUCGGGGGUAGAGCACUGUUUUGGCUAGGGGGUCAUGGCGACUUACCAAACCAAGGCAAACUCCGAAUACCGAAGAGUACAGCUUGGGAGACAGAGCACCGGGUGCUAACGUCCGGACUCAAGAGGGAAACAACCCAGACCGCCAGCUAAGGUCCCUAAAAUUGGCUAAGUGGGAAACGAAGUGGGAAGGCUAAAACAGUCAGGAUGUUGGCUUAGAAGCAGCCAUCAUUUAAAGAAAGCGUAAUAGCUCACUGAUCGAGUCGUCCUGCGCGGAAGAUGUAACGGGGCUAAGCCAGUUACCGAAGCUGCGGAUUUGCAAUUUAUUGCAAGUGGUAGGAGAGCGUUCUGUAAGCCUGUGAAGGUGCGUUGUAAAGCGUGCUGGAGGUAUCAGAAGUGCGAAUGCUGACAUGAGUAGCGUUAAAGGGGGUGAAAAGCCCCCUCGCCGUAAGCGCAAGGUUUUCUACGCAACGUUCAUCGGCGUAGAGUGAGUCGGCCCCUAAGGCGAGGCAGAGAUGCGUAGCUGAUGGGAAACAGGUCAAUAUUCCUGUACCGAUAUAUAGUGCGAUGUGGGGACGGAUCUUAAUAGGUCAUCCGGGUGUUGGAUAUCCCGGUUUAGUUGGAUGUAGGCGUGCAUUAGGCAAAUCCGGUGCACAUAUACCGAGGCCAACGAUCGAGCGAGCUUGCUCGCGAAGUGACUGAACGAGGUUCCAGGAAAAGCCACUAAGCUUCAGCUAUAUACGACCGUACCGCAAACCGACACUGGUGCGCGAGAUGAGUAUUCUAAGGCGCUUGAGAGAACUCAGGAGAAGGAACUCGGCAAAUUGACACCGUAACUUCGGAAGAAGGUGUGCCCUAUUAGUGUGUAGUGAACAACGAAGCAUGAAUGGGUUGCAAAAAAUCGGUGGCUGCGACUGUUUAUUAAAAACACAGCACUCUGCAAACACGAAAGUGGACGUAUAGGGUGUGACGCCUGCCCGGUGCUGGAAGAUUAAAUGAUGGGGUGCAAGCUCUUGAUUGAAGUCCCAGUAAACGGCGGCCGUAACUAUAACGGUCCUAAGGUAGCGAAAUUCCUUGUCGGGUAAGUUCCGACCUGCACGAAUGGCGUAACGAUGGCCACACUGUCUCCUCCUGAGACUCAGCGAAGUUGAAAUGUUUGUGAUGAUGCAAUCUCCCCGCGGAAAGACGGAAAGACCCCAUGAACCUUUACUGUAGCUUUGUAUUGGACUUUGAACAGAUCUGUGUAGGAUAGGUGGGAGGCUUUGAAGCAGGGUCGCUAGAUCUUGUGGAGCCAACGUUGAAAUACCACCCUGGUGUGUUUGAGGUUCUAACCUAGGUCCAUUAUCUGGAUCGGGGACAGUGCAUGGUAGGCAGUUUGACUGGGGCGGUCUCCUCCCAAAGCGUAACGGAGGAGUUCGAAGGUACGCUAGUUACGGUCGGACAUCGUGACGAU
RNAcentral lists this ribosomal RNA (2289 nucleotides) under Variovorax sp. JGI 0001013-L10. Its description in RNAcentral is "bacterial LSU rRNA". It matches the Rfam family "Bacterial large subunit ribosomal RNA", at positions 3 to 2347 of the family's 2925-position model. The record is from RNAcentral. Lineage: Bacteria; Pseudomonadati; Pseudomonadota; Betaproteobacteria; Burkholderiales; Comamonadaceae.